RNAcentral lists this ribosomal RNA (253 nucleotides) under uncultured bacterium. Its description in RNAcentral is "partial 16S ribosomal RNA". It matches the Rfam family "Bacterial small subunit ribosomal RNA", at positions 524 to 776 of the family's 1533-position model. The record is from RNAcentral.
UACGUAGGGGGCGAGCGUUGUCCGGAUUUAUUGGGCGUAAAGAGCGUGUAGGCGGCCAGGUAGGUCUGCUGUGAAAACUCGAGGCUCAACCUCGAGACGUCGGCGGAAACCAUCUGGCUAGAGUCCGGAAGAGGAGAGUGGAAUUCCUGGUGUAGCGGUGAAAUGCGCAGAUAUCAGGAAGAACACCCGUGGCGAAGGCGGCUCUCUGGGACGGUACUGACGCUGAUACGCGAAAGCGUGGGGAGCAAACAGG